AAAGCGGAAUCCGAAAAGCUUAACAAAGAGUAGGAA
Molecule: non-coding RNA, 36 nt
Organism: Corchorus olitorius
Lineage: Eukaryota; Viridiplantae; Streptophyta; Magnoliopsida; Malvales; Malvaceae
Source: Rfam